CAUCUUUUCCUAGUCGAACAAAUUGCAGAUUUGAUUCUUUAGCUCACCGGAUGGGUAAUUCUCUCUCCUUAUCGAUCUGUCUAAAGCUUUUUCUUCUUGUCAGAUCUGUAUGCUCUAUCCAGAUCGUAAUAUGAAGAUGCCAAGCCCAAACCCUCUCAUCCUUUCCGCAAUGCCGUCCCCGCCGCCCCUAGAUACCUCCGCGAUUGAGUAGCUCUAUCGCUGUCAGUCCUGCAACCACGCGUGCCUCACAUCACCACCCGCCCAGCGACCACGCGAACGACGAGUUGUGCAUCGCGCAUGUGAUUGGGAACCUCUGCCGCGCCACAGCUUUCCAUUAAGCCCUUCAUCAAUGGCAGAGCCUCCGGUAUGCUCGUUACCUGCGUCACCCAACCCAUCGAUAUGAUCAAGUGAGAAUUCAAUUGGGUCAGGGAUCAGCUGGACAAGUUGCCAGGACCAUGAUCAAGGAGGAGGGUUUCGGUUCAUUGUAUAAGGUGAGAAUUCAAUUGGGUCAGGGAUCAGCUGGACAAGUUGCCAGGACCAUGAUCAAGGAGGAGGGUUUUGGUUCAUUGUUUAAGGUAUGCUUAUUUGAUGCGAAUACAGUUUGACUUUUUGAUGCAUGAUUUACUUGAUUUAGUGCUGGAUGUUUUGGAUGAGGAAUUUAUAUCUGUUUGAGGUCUCGAAUUUUAGAUUCUUCAUGCCAAUCAGAUAUGUAUUCCUUUCCAGUAAUCCAAUUGAUUGUUUGGAGUGGGUAGGUUGUCUCUAACUUGUUUGAUUUGAUUGUUUUCUCAAAACCAAAAACUCGAGCUAAAAUCGUUUUCUUGCUUAUUUCUUUUGUUUCUGUUUUCGCAAGUUUCAAGGAACACUUCAGUACAUUCUCUUAAUAAUUUCUUGUUGUCUUCGGGUGUAAAUCAUAUUCAAAGAACAUGACCCUGCAUCAGUUGUGUCGUAAGUUCAUAUUAUUUCUGAGCAUUAUUACUGAUGCUUGUAAUACAUGAACUUACGAGUCCAGAAUGAGGAAUGCCUUAACUAUUUAGUUUUAACCUCAAAAUAACAAAGAGAAGAGGCAAGGUCUUGUGGAGUUUCUUACACCUGAAGAGGCUUUGGUUGUCAUUUGAUGGCAGUUCAUUCUUUGGUUCUAUUCCCAAAAUCAGGCGCGCUAAGUAGUUUGUUGACAUUGCUGUAAGAAUCAUAAUUUUAACCUUUUAGUUUGAUCUUAUAUAUCCUUUUGAUGCAUGAUCUAUGAAAUCAUAUCUUUGGUUAACCACUCUUGUUAUUAUUAUUAUUAUUAUUAUUUUUUUUUAAAUAGCAGUGACAAUGCACCUAUUUUUUCAUGUAAUCUUGUCUUCACUAGCUUGCUGGAUUGUCGUAAUUCUUUAGUACUUUACCUAUCUGAUCUCAUGAGUUCUAACAUAUAAAUUUGUGUUAACUACUGCAA
Rosa rugosa (rugosa rose) is the source of this 1435-nucleotide long non-coding RNA. RefSeq lists it as uncharacterized. The transcript is spliced from 4 exons. Lineage: Eukaryota; Viridiplantae; Streptophyta; Magnoliopsida; Rosales; Rosaceae. The record is from RefSeq and is a predicted model, not a curated record.